UGCCAUUUCCCUUUCCUCUCCCACGCGUGCCGAAGCCCGACGCCGAGCCCUAACCGUCGGAGCUCUAACCGGCGACCCCGGCGGUUUUCCUCUCUCCCUCGUGCCUAAUCCGUGACCAAGGGAAGAAGUCGACGCCACUCCACCCAGCGCCGCCGGUCCAAAAAGCCCUAGCGCCGGUGCCCUAGCGCCCAGCAGUGCUCGGCAUCUCCUGGCACAACCUGACCUCUCCCUCUCGGUGUGUUGCUGUCGCGUCGCCGCCGGCCGAGCUAUUCUCCUCAGUCCUACUUCUCCGGCCAACUUCUCCUCUCGGACUUGCGAUCCCCUCAUUUCUUUCCUCACCGGCGCACAUCUUCGACCAGGGGCAGAGCCGAGCCCUAGCCUCGCCUUCUUCUGGUUUUCUUGCGUUGUGCCCUAGGUUUUCUCUUGCUGUUGGAUCCGAACAAAACAGUAGUGAGUAUCAGACAGGAGCAAGCAGUGACGAGUUCUUCUUGUGUCUCUGCUUGAUAGUGCCGAAGACAAUACCGAGCUGUGUUUUAGCCGGAUCUUGGAGGGUACUAGAAUUCCAGAAGAGGAUAAAUUGCUAUGGGGGUUUUCUUAGAUCUGGCAGUCACGGCUUCCAGCAAAAUUCUUUGAUUUCCAACCAAGAACGGUUGUGGAAAUUGAGGAUUUUGACGCGAGACGAGUAUCUCGGAGUCAGAUUGGACCUUUCUAUUUUCGGAGGCGGG
Zingiber officinale is the source of this 725-nucleotide long non-coding RNA. RefSeq lists it as uncharacterized. The record is from RefSeq and is a predicted model, not a curated record. The transcript has 4 exons. Lineage: Eukaryota; Viridiplantae; Streptophyta; Magnoliopsida; Zingiberales; Zingiberaceae.